UACGAAGGGGGCUAGCGUUGCUCGGAAUCACUGGGCGUAAAGCGCACGUAGGCGAAUUGCUAAGUCAGGGGUGAAAUCCUGGAGCUCAACUCCAGAACUGCCCUUGAUACUGGCGGUCUCGAGUCCGGGAGAGGUGAGUGGAACUGCGAGUGUAGAGGUGAAAUUCGUAGAUAUUCGCAAGAACACCAGUGGCGAAGGCGGCUCACUGGCCCGGUACUGACGCUGAGGUGCGAAAGCGUGGGGAGCAAACAGG
This 253-nucleotide ribosomal RNA is filed under the name uncultured bacterium. Its description in RNAcentral is "partial 16S ribosomal RNA". It matches the Rfam family "Bacterial small subunit ribosomal RNA", at positions 524 to 776 of the family's 1533-position model. The record is from RNAcentral.